AGCGCAGGCGGGAAGACAAGUUGGAAGUGAAAUCUAUGGGCUCAACCCAUAAACUGCUUUCAAAACUGUUUUUCCUGAGUAGUGCAGAGGUAGGCGGAAUUCCCGGUGUAGCGGUGGAAUGCGUAGAUAUCGGGAGGAACACCAGUGGCGAAGGCGGCCUACUGGGCACCAACUGACGCUGAGGCUCGAAAGUGUGGGUAGCAAACA
Molecule: ribosomal RNA, 207 nt
Filed under: uncultured bacterium
Lineage: Bacteria
Description: partial 16S ribosomal RNA
Rfam family: Bacterial small subunit ribosomal RNA
Source: RNAcentral